Molecule: ribosomal RNA, 523 nt
Filed under: uncultured bacterium
Lineage: Bacteria
Description: bacterial SSU rRNA
Rfam family: Bacterial small subunit ribosomal RNA
Source: RNAcentral
AGAGUUUGAUUAUGGCUCAGGAUGAACGCUAGCUACAGGCUUAACACAUGCAAGUCGAGGGGCAGCAUGAUCUUAGCUUGCUAAGAUUGAUGGCGACCGGCGCACGGGUGAGUAACGCGUAUCCAACCUUCCCCUUAGUAGGGCAUAGCCCGUAGAAAUGCGGAUUAAUACCCUAUGUUGUAUAUUGAGGACAUCUGAUUUAUACCAAAGGUUCACCGCUAAGGGAUGGGGAUGCGUCUGAUUAGGUUGUUGGCGGGGUAACGGCCCACCAAGCCUACGAUCAGUAGGGGUUCUGAGAGGAAGGUCCCCCACAUUGGAACUGAGACACGGUCCAAACUCCUACGGGAGGCAGCAGUGAGGAAUAUUGGUCAAUGGACGAGAGUCUGAACCAGCCAAAAGUAGCGUGCAGGAUGACGGCCCUAUGGGUUGUAAACUGCUUUUAUACGGGGAUAAAGUGACCCACGUGUGGGUUUUUGUAGGUACCGUAUGAAUAAGGACCGGCUAAUUCCGUGCCAGCCGCAGC